ACUACGGGUGGCAGCAGUGGGGGAUAUUGCACAAUGGGGGGAACCCUGAUGCAGCGACGCCGCGUGGGUGAAGAAGCGCCUCGGCGCGUAAAGCCCUGUCAGCAGGGAAGAAAAUGACGGUACCUGAAGAAGAAGCCCCGGCUAACUACGUGCCAGCAGCCGCGGUAAUACGUAGGGGGCAAGCGUUAUCCGGAUUUACUGGGUGUAAAGGGGGCGCAGACGGCGAUGCAAGCCAGGAGUGAAAGCCCGGGGCCCAACCCCGGGACUGCUCUUGGAACUGCGUGGCUGGAGUGCAGGAGGGGCAGGCGGAAUUCCUGGUGUAGCGGUGAAAUGCGUAGAUAUCAGGAGGAACACCGGUGGCGAAGGCGGCCUGCUGGACUGCAACUGACGUUGAGGCCCGAAAGCGUGGGGAGCAAACAGGAUUAGAUACCCCAGUAGUA
RNAcentral lists this ribosomal RNA (440 nucleotides) under uncultured bacterium. Its description in RNAcentral is "partial 16S ribosomal RNA". It matches the Rfam family "Bacterial small subunit ribosomal RNA", at positions 338 to 795 of the family's 1533-position model. The record is from RNAcentral.